AACAAGUUAUCAUUUGGUCGCCUGACAUCAACUGUGUACUUGUUUGUCUCAAAAGACAGCACAGAUUACACGUUCUAAAAAUGUGCACUAUCUGUCUAGUAAUCGUGUUUUUUCAGCAUUAUUUUCCUCUCAUUUCCUGACGGUAAAUCGAGAAAAGGUCGUAGAGCUGCGACUUUCAGUUCAUAAAACACCAGUAUGUAUCAGUAUUCACCAAACAGAAAGGUAGCAAUUACAACCAAUGUCACUGUGCAAAAUUGAUCCAGCAUUGUUUCCAUGUAAUGCUUUCAACAGUUCUGAACUGUGCAAAAUUGAUCCAACAUUGUUUCCAUGUAAUGCUUUCAGCAGUUCUCAAUUUCUCAAACUGAAAGAUCAACAAUCGAACCUACUACCAAAACCUCACUGUAUCCGGAGCAAUGAUACAUUCGAUUUCUGAAGAAGAUGCACCUUGAUGCUAUUGUCAGAAGUCAUGCUCUCGUAUUCCUCUACGCAUCAACAUCUGGAUACACCAACUCCUGACCCUGAGCAACAAUGGAACAAGGAAAACAUAGGGACACAGUUAGGACUUAGGACAUAGGUGCUAGGCCACAUGCAUUGUGUUGCAACGGCUGCAACAGCUCAAAAUAAGCAAUUCAGUACAGGAUCAACAAAUUGGUUGACAAGUUAUAAACAGUUAAACUUCUGGGCAGUGAAUCAGUGUAUUGGCAUAAUUUUUUUUUGAACUGACAUGGUACCAAGUGAAUUCUCUUGAACACAAAUCGAACCCAAAAAACCCAAGUACAUCAUACUACCUGAAACAACUGCGUUCUCAAAACUUAUAAUCUAAAACACAAAUUCAAAGCUACAGAGGUCUCUCAACAUCUGAACUACAGUCACAAUAAGGAGUUACAAAUUCAGUUGUCAUCAGUACAACACUUGGUCUAUUGGUCAUGUAACUUGCAGGAACAAUUUUACCAACUUGUUGCAGCGAACACCAAACUUGCAAAUGAGCAAUACUACACAAUAUUGAAGCUAGUUAUCUACCCUGUUGUCAUCAGUACGAUCAACUGAUAGAGAAACAGAACAGGUGCUUCAGUGCACGCUGCACAGGUUACUGAAGAAAAGUGAAAACUGCAAGGCUCUCACCUGAUUACCCGGCGGUGAGGACUACGAUGUCCAUGGUCCGCUCGUUAGCAAGAAGGUCGAUGAGGAGUAUGCUGAUAUUUCCCACCGCUUGAAAUACAGCUUGCCCUCAAGCUGUGCUUUGCAUGACCACUAGGAUCUCAAACAAAGUUUGUGAAAUUAUCUUGGC
Molecule: long non-coding RNA, 1288 nt
Filed under: Zea mays
Lineage: Eukaryota; Viridiplantae; Streptophyta; Magnoliopsida; Poales; Poaceae
Description: long non-coding RNA (ZMAY_LNC004639)
Source: RNAcentral